CCCUUAGAUGUUCUGGGCCGCACGCGCGCUACAAUGAUGAAUUCAACGAGCUUAUAACCUUGGUUGAAAAGCCUGGGUAAUCUUUUGAACUUUCGUCGUGAUGGGGCUAGACCCUUGCAAUUUUUGGUCUCCAACGAGGAAUUCCUAGUAAACGCAAGUCAUCAACUUGCAUUGAUUACGUCCCUGCCCUUUGUACACACCGCCCGUCGCACCUACCGAUUGAAUGCUCAGGUGAGCCAUUCGGACUUUCAUCAUGCUGGUUUCCAGUUUUGAUGAAGGAAAGUCUUGCGAACCUUAUCAUUUAGAGGAAGGAGAAGUCGUAACA
Molecule: ribosomal RNA, 325 nt
Filed under: uncultured eukaryote
Lineage: Eukaryota
Description: partial 18S ribosomal RNA
Rfam family: Eukaryotic small subunit ribosomal RNA
Source: RNAcentral